Molecule: long non-coding RNA, 2545 nt
Organism: Lagenorhynchus albirostris (white-beaked dolphin)
Lineage: Eukaryota; Metazoa; Chordata; Mammalia; Artiodactyla; Delphinidae
Exons: 6
Source: RefSeq, a predicted model, not a curated record
ACCACCACGCCCGCCCCGGAGCGUGGCAGGCCGGGCGGAGGCCCCAGCGGUGGACGGGAUUCCGCGGCUCACUGGCUGGGGGUUCUGAGAUUCUGUGACUCGGCGACCGGCUGAGACCGAGUUCCUGCAAGUCCCGGCUCCUUGCGGCCUGUCCUGCGCGGUGCCGGUGCCCAAGGCCGGAAAAAGGUAGUUUAUCUUGAAGCAAUCAUACCAGUUAUUCUAGAAAGGCACUAUCCAGUCUGCUGUUAAAAGCUGUGGGUGAGGACUUCCUGGUGGCGCAGUGGUUAAGAAUCCGCCUACCAGUGCAGGGGACACGGGUUCGAGCCCUGGUCGGGGAAGAUCCCACAUGCCAAGGAGCAACUAGGCCCGUGUGCCACAACUACUGAGCCUGAGCUCUAGAGCCCGCGUGCCACAACUACUGAAGCCCGCGCGCCUAGAGCCCGUGCUCUGCAACAAGAGAAGCCACAGCAAUGAGAAGCCUGCACACCGCAAUAAAGAGUAGCCUCUGCUCACCGCAGCUAGAGAAAGCCCACGCGCAGCAACGAAGACCCAACACAGCCAAAAGUAAGAAAAAAAUUGAAUGGCAAGUCUUCUUGUCUAUUUCACACUUGGGAAACUUGGAUCUGCAGCUCUACCUUGAGUUUUAUCAGAGGCUCCAAAACUGUGAACAGGAGGGAGUCAGAUGUGCCACGUAGGUCAUGCUCAAAGAUGAUGAAUACAUUUUGCUAUUAUUAGCUUAUCACCCCCCUGAAGUGUAAGAAGAAUCAAAGAGACUAAUCCUGAAAGCAGCUACGGCUUAUGCAAAAGCAAAGUCAUGAUCUGGAAGAGGGACAAAGGGCAAAGGCUAGAAAGAAAAGUCCUGGACUUCAGACUUCUGAUGAGAUGUCACACACUCCCUGCGUUGUACGUAUGAGGAAGUUAGCACCUGGAGAGGGUAAGUGAUGUAUCUUAGAUCACACAGCUCACAUAGUGGCAGACGCUAAGAAGGAACCAAGGCUGUCUGGCUUCACAUCCCAAAUGGAAGAGGGAAUGAUCUGGAAGAGACGUGCACUGUGGCGAAGGCAGGGCUCAAGACCCAGUGAACACCACAAACCGGUGACAGAACAGUUCAUAGGGUGAAGUAGUUUUAUCAUCUGUGUGAAGCCAACCAUACACAUGAGUGGAGGAAAUGAUGUGUAAAGGAGAUUCUUUGCUGUUUUUAUCCUCAACACUUCUGACACCAAGUAAGAGGUUUUUUUCCUCCUGACAAGAAGUAUGUGGUGGACUUCCCUGGUGGCGCAGUGGUUAAGAAUCCACCUGCCAAUUCAGGCAACCCGAGUUCGAUCCCUGGUCCAGGAAGAUCCCACAUGCUCCGGAGCAACCAAGCCCGUGCGCCACAACUACUGAGCCUGCACUCUAGAGCCUGCGAGCCACAACUAUUCAGCCCGUGUGCCACAACUACUGAGCCCAUGUGCCACAACUACUGAAGCCCGUGCGCCUAGAGCCCGUGCUCCACACAAGAGAAGCCACUGCAAUGAGAAGCCCGCGCACCGCAACGAAGAGUAGCCCCCACUCGCCGCAGCUAGAGAAAGCCCACAUGCAGCAACGGAGACCCAACGCAGCCAAUAAACAAACAAAGAAAUAUGUGGUGUCUUUUCCAACACCAUUUCUUCAGCUUACUGACACUAACUACCUGGAAUUAGCAUCAGAUUCCACAGAUUUAAGGGCUCAGUCCCACUAGGUGGUCCUCCACUUCAGAUGUCAGUUACAAGUCCCUGGCCUCCUGAACUUUGGACCAACCCCAGCUAUAAGUUGGGGGUUCCCAUAACCCUCUCCUCAGGUUUGAUUAUUUGCUAGAAUGACUCACAGAACUCAGGAAAGUACUUUACUUAUUAUUACUGGUUUAUUAUAAAGGAUAUAACUGGGGAACAUCCAGAUGGGAGAGACACAUAGGGCAAAGUGGUGGGCUUGGGGAGAGGCAUGGAUCUUCCAUGCUGCAAGCUCUUUGAACUCCAUCCUUUAAGGGGUUUUAUUAAGGGUUCAUUCCAAAGGUAUGAUCGAUGAAAUCAUUGGCUAUUGUUGAUUGAUUCAAUCACCAGUCCCUUUCCCCUCCCCAGAUGUUAGGAGGUGAGCCUGAAAGUUCUAACCCUAAUCAUGCUUUUCUUUCUGGUGACAAGGCCCCAACCUGAAGCCAUCUAGGGCCCUGCCAAGAAACACUUCAUUAGAAAAAAAGACACUCCCAUCCCUCAGGGUGUUCCAAGCCAUUUAGGAGCUCUGUGUCAAGAACCAAGGAUAGGGCUUCCCUGGUGGCGCAGUGGUUAAAAAUCCGCCUGCCAAUGCAGGGGACAUGGGUUCGAUCCCCAGUCCGGGAAGAUCCCACAUGCCACAGAGCAACUAAGCCCAUGCGCCACAACUACUGGACCUGCACUCUAGACCCCACGAGCUACAACUACUGAAACCCGCACGCCUAGAGCCCAUGCUCCGCAACAAGAGAAGCCACCACAGUGAGAAGCCUGCGCACCGCAACGAAGAGUAGCCCCUGCUCGCCGCAACUAGAGAAAGCCCG